ACACACUGCAUCAUUUAUAAACCCUAAGACUACAUCAACAGCUUCUUAGACCUGCUGUUCAAGGAGGUCAUGAUAGCACCUGAGAAGUACCAGGACCUACUGGCCAGCGUUCCUGUCCCUCCCCUUGUGGGCAGAAAGCGUUCUCUUUGUCUCCUUCUUGGUGUGUAUCAUCUUCUCCAUUAUGGCGUGUUUCUACACCUUCAUGGACCCUGCUGAAAUUGAGGCCCAGUUCAAGAAGAAGGUUCAUGAAGAUGAUGAGGAUGAUAGAAGCCAGUAACAGAAGACAGAGCUCGAGAUGUGAAGCUGAAAUAAAACCAGCCGGUCCUCAGGGAGAUAUGGAGGGAGACAGAGUGAAGGAACAAACAGCGACUGCAGAUAAAAUAGACAAGGGGAGGAAAAGCUUAUGGCGGGUAUGCAACCCCCUUCUACCCACCAUAAGCUUUUCAUCUCUCUUUAUAUUUUCUCCCUCUUCUCUCUAGUUCUCUCUGUAUUUAUGUCUCUGUCUCUCUCAAGUCUCCCUCAAUUGUGUUUUGGUCAGUGAACUGUAGUAUUAAAUUGUGCCUCUGGGGUAAGCUGUGGAAAGCCUCACUGGAUAAUUGAAAAAAAAGACCA
Molecule: long non-coding RNA, 612 nt
Organism: Thunnus maccoyii (southern bluefin tuna)
Lineage: Eukaryota; Metazoa; Chordata; Actinopteri; Scombriformes; Scombridae
Exons: 3
Source: RefSeq, a predicted model, not a curated record